RNAcentral lists this ribosomal RNA (200 nucleotides) under uncultured organism. Its description in RNAcentral is "partial small subunit ribosomal RNA". It matches the Rfam family "Bacterial small subunit ribosomal RNA", at positions 1183 to 1382 of the family's 1533-position model. The record is from RNAcentral.
CGUCAAAUCAUCAUGCCCCUUAUGACCUGGGCUACACACGUACUACAAUGGCCGGUACAGAGGGCAGCGAAACCGCGAGGUGGAGCGAAUCUCAGAAAGCCGGUCUCAGUUCGGAUUGCAGGCUGCAACUCGCCUGCAUGAAGCCGGAAUUGCUAGUAAUCGCGGAUCAGCAUGCCGCGGUGAAUACGUUCCCGGGUCUU